RNAcentral lists this unclassified non-coding RNA (273 nucleotides) under fungal sp. RNAcentral describes it as "partial internal transcribed spacer region". The stretch from base 1 to 46 matches the Rfam family "Eukaryotic small subunit ribosomal RNA", at positions 1786 to 1831 of the family's 1831-position model. The record is from RNAcentral. Lineage: Eukaryota; Fungi.
AAGUCGUAACAAGGUUUCCGUAGGUGAACCUGCGGAAGGAUCAUUACCGAGUUAGGGUCCCUCCAGGGCCCGACCUCCUCAUCCUGUGUCUACCCCACCUCAGCGUUGCUUCGGCGGGCCGGACUCGACCACAACUGGUCUUGACCGCCGGGCCCAGUGGCCUGGAGAGUCGUCCGCCGAUGGCCAUCAUACAAACUCUGUACUGAAACAGUGUCGUCUAAGAUGGAAUCGUUAAUUAAAACAAAACUUUCAACAACGGAUCUCUUGGUUCGG